GAGUGGCGAACGGGUGAGUAAUAUAUCGGAACGUGCCCUAGAGUGGGGGAUAACGCAGCGAAAGCUGUGCUAAUACCGCAUACGAUCUACGGAUGUAAGCGGGGGACCUUCGGGCCUCGCGCGAUUGGAGCGGCCGAUGUUAGAUUAGGUAGUUGGUGGGGUAAAGGCUCACCAAGUCGACGAUCUAUAGCUGGUCUGAGAGGACGACCAGCCACACUGGAACUGAGACACGGUCCAGACUCC
This 243-nucleotide ribosomal RNA is filed under the name uncultured bacterium. RNAcentral's name for it is "partial 16S ribosomal RNA". It matches the Rfam family "Bacterial small subunit ribosomal RNA", at positions 93 to 339 of the family's 1533-position model. The record is from RNAcentral.